RNAcentral lists this ribosomal RNA (465 nucleotides) under uncultured bacterium. Its description in RNAcentral is "partial 16S ribosomal RNA". It matches the Rfam family "Bacterial small subunit ribosomal RNA", at positions 28 to 507 of the family's 1533-position model. The record is from RNAcentral.
GACGAACGCUGGCGGCGUGCUUAACACAUGCAAGUCGAACGGAAAGGCCCUGCUUGCAGGGUACUCGAGUGGCGAACGGGUGAGUAACACGUGGGUGAUCUGCCCUGCACUUCGGGAUAAGCCUGGGAAACUGGGUCUAAUACCGGAUAUGAGCCAUUUUGAUUGUGAUUGUUGGAAAGUUUUUUCGGUGUGGGAUGAGCUCGCGGGCUAUCAGCUUGUUGGUGGGGUAAUGGCCUACCAAGGCGGCGACGGGUAGGCGGCCUGAGAGGGUGGACGGCCACAUUGGGACUGAGAUACGGCCCAGACUCCUACGGGAGGCAGCAGUGGGGAAUAUUGCACAAUGGGCGCGAGGCUGAUGCAGCGACGCCGCGGGGGGGAUGACGGCCUUCGGGUUGUAAACUCCUUUCGCUAGGGACGAAGCUUUUUGUGACGGUACCUAGAUAAGAAGCACCGGCUAACUACGUG